AUGACGAGCAGUUGUAUUACAGCUUCCAGGGAAAACCACGCUUGGUGGUGUGUAACCAGGGAGACGCCGAACAACAGAAAAAGUAUUGGCGUCCUACCAUUGGAAAACACUGAGGGAGGAUGUAAAAAAAUGGGUGAGUGUUAUUAGUACUGAAGGAAAUGUUAAUUAAUUUGAUGGAAC
This 180-nucleotide long non-coding RNA is filed under the name Gadus morhua (Atlantic cod). RNAcentral describes it as "lncRNA (ENSGMOG00000032515.1)". Lineage: Eukaryota; Metazoa; Chordata; Actinopteri; Gadiformes; Gadidae. The record is from RNAcentral.